RNAcentral lists this ribosomal RNA (1170 nucleotides) under uncultured organism. Its description in RNAcentral is "bacterial SSU rRNA". It matches the Rfam family "Bacterial small subunit ribosomal RNA", at positions 238 to 1434 of the family's 1533-position model. The record is from RNAcentral.
CCAUCAGCUAGUUGGUAGGGUAAAGGCCUACCAAGGCGACGACGGGUAGGGGGCCUGAGAGGGUGACCCCCCACACUGGAACUGAGACACGGUCCAGACUUCUACGGAAGGCAGCAGUAAGGGAUAUUGCGACAAUGGGCGAAAGCCUGACGCAGCAACGCCGCGUGCGGGAUGAAGGCCUUCGGGUUGUAAACCGCUUUUCGGGGGGAAGAGGAAGGACGGUACCCCCGCGAAUAAGUCUCGGCUAACUACGUGCCAGCAGCCGCGGUAAAACGUAGGAGGCGAGCGUUAUCCGGAUUUACUGGGUGUAAAGCGCGUGCAGGCGGUCGAGUAAGUCGAGCGUGAAAGCUCCCGGCUCAACCGGGAGAGGACGUGCGGAACUGCUGGGCUGGAGGCAGGUAGAGGCGUGUGGAAUUCCGGGUGUAGUGGUGAAAUGCGUAGAUAUCCGGAGGAACACCAGUGGCGAAGGCGACACGCUGGGCCUGACCUGACGCUAAGACGCGAAAGCAUGGGUAGCGAACGGGAUUAGAAACCCCGGUAGUCCAUGCCGUAAACGAUGCAGACUAGGUGUUGAGCGUGUGAAAGCGAGCAGUGCCGAAGCAAACGUGAUAAGUCUGCCACCUGGGGACUACGGCCGCAAGGCUAAAACUCAAAGGAAUUGACGGGGGCCCGCACAAGCAGCGGAGCGUGUGGUUUAAUUCGAGGCUACACGAAGAACCUUACCUGGGCUUGACAUGACGGUUGUAGGGAAUCGAAAGAGGACCGACUCUUCGGGGAGCCGCCACAGGUGCUGCAUGGCUGUCGUCAGCUCGUGUCGUGAGAUGUUCGGUUAAGUCCGGUAACGAGCGCAACCCUCGCCGUUAGUUACAAGUGUCUAGCGGGACUGCCCGUAGAAAGCGGGAGGAAGGUGGGGAUGACGUCAAGUCAGCAUGGCCUUUAUGUCCAGGGCUACACACACGCUACAAUGGCCGGUACAAUGGGUCGCCAACCCGCGAGGGGGAGCUAAUCCACCAAAGCCGGUCUCAGUUCGGAUUGUAGGCUGCAACUCGCCUGCAUGAAGUCGGAGUUGCUAGUAACCGCAGGUCAGCUAUACUGCGGUGAAUACGUUCCCGGGCCUUGUACACACCGCCCGUCACGUCACGGAAGCUGGUCAUGCCUGAAGUCGGUGGG